GGAUGUGAGGGCAAUCUGGCUGUGAUAUCUGUCACCCCAUUGAUGGCCAGGGUUGAUUCAGCUGAUCUGGCUGGCUAGGCAGGUGUCUCCUUCCUCUCUCACUGCUCCAUGUGCAUCCCUCCCAAAGCUGUGCACUUGGAAGAAGAGAAAGACCUUCCCUGAUAGCAAAGGACCGUUUUUCGGUCAAGGGUAUAUGGGUAGCUGCACUCCCCUGCUAGGACGUCCAAACAAGCUCUCAAGGUCCAUUUGUAGGAGAAUGUAGGGUAGUCAAGCUUCCGAGAUUCCAGACGCAUCCAAAUGAGGCACCGCAUGUGGCACUCUGCCUUUCUUU
Unclassified non-coding RNA from Ursus americanus (American black bear), 331 nucleotides. Its record names the gene 7SK. It matches the Rfam family "7SK RNA". From Rfam's summary of the family: 7SK was discovered as an abundant small nuclear RNA in the mid-70s but a possible function has only recently been suggested. NCBI's taxonomy places the organism in Eukaryota, Metazoa, Chordata, Mammalia, Carnivora, Ursidae. The record is from Ensembl.